Long non-coding RNA from Mirounga angustirostris (Northern elephant seal), 6742 nucleotides. RefSeq lists it as uncharacterized. The record is from RefSeq and is a predicted model, not a curated record. The transcript is spliced from 2 exons. NCBI's taxonomy places the organism in Eukaryota, Metazoa, Chordata, Mammalia, Carnivora, Phocidae.
GAGAGCGCUCGCGGCGCCGGGGCUCGCCUUCUGUGUCCCGCCCCGGCCACGCCCCCGGCCACGCCCCCGACCGAGCCACCACCGAGACGCCCGGGCCUCCGCGGAGCCUAGAGCGGACUGGAAAGCGCCUCCGCGGGCCGGGGAGAGCGGCCGCAGCGGCCGCGGACGUGCCCGCCGGCUCCGCGCGCCCCGCUGGCCGCCGAGGGAGCGUGGACGCGUUUGCGGCUCCUGCUCGCGAGGGCGCGACGCCGUCUCUCUCUCUCUCUCGGCGGGUGGUUCUGUGAACGGGAAGAGGGAAAAGACGUCUCUGGGAAAAGACGUCUUCGCUUUCUCCGCAUAAGAAAAGUCAUUCCGGGCCCCCGGCCGUCGCGCCAGAGAGCGUGAGAGCCGACGGCGGACACACGGUCGUGAGGGCACGGCAAGCCCGCGGCGGACUCCCGGGGCCGAGCCGGCGCGCACGCCUCCCGCUACCUUUGCAGGACCUGAACCGCUCGGAGCACCCGGGUACAGCACCGCGUGGAGCCCCGAACGGGCGCGGCCGGCCGCGCUGCCGUCGGGUUUGGCCCGGACCCGGUCGGCUCAGGGCGACUUCCACCCCCGCCGUUUCGGAUUCCCCUCGGGAAGACCGCGUCGGGAAUGUGCUCCCCCAGCUUGGAACUUGCCCGGUCCUGUUCGGAGGAGGAGACGCUGCUUGGGGAAGGACCCGCUUUUCUCUUCUUUUCCUGUGUCUGGCUCCACACCCACCAGAAGCGGACGCAGUUUUGGGUAACAGUUCUCCGGGGCGGCCCCGGACCAACAGCUGCCUCCCCUGGGAACUUGAUAAGCAAGCGCAUCCUGGGGCGACGGCGCACGAGAAACCGAGGGCGGGCCCCCCAGUCCGCGCCUGUGUCCCUUGAGGUGAUCCCGAUGCGCACUAGGCUUUGAAAACCGCUGUCCCGGGACGAGAUUUCUUAACCUCCGCGGUCGGGACGUGCUGGCCUGGGUCAUUCUUUGUGACGGGGCCUGUCCUGUGCAUUAGGGGUAGAGUCACCAGGUGAAGUGCAUGGUGAGCUGUUAACUUUGGUUUUCAGGUAAACAACAGUGUUAAUUUAAGAUUCACAGUUAAUUGAGAGUUCUGCAUUUUAUUUGGAGACACUACCCCUUGUGCAUUUUUUUUUUUUAAGAUUUUAUUUAUUUGAGAGAGAGAGAGAAUGAGAGACAGAGAGCAUGAGAGGGAGGAGGGUCAGAGGGAGAAGCAGACGCCCCGCCGAGCAGGGAGCCCGACGCGGGACUCGAUCCCGGGACUCGAUCCCGGGACUCCAGGAUCAUGACCUGAGCCGAAGGCAGUCGCUUAACCAACUGAGCCACCCAGGCGCCCCCCCUUGUGUAUUUUAUUUGCUAAAUCUGGCAGGUUUUUUUUUUUUAAGAUUUUAUUUAUUUAUUCAUGAGAGAGAGAGAGGCAGAGGGAGAAGCAGACCCCCUGCCGAGCAGGGAGCCCGAUGCGGGACUCGAUCCCGGGACUCCAGGAUCACGACCUGAGCCGAAGGCAGUCGCUUAACCAACUGAGCCACCCAGGCGCCCCACCUUGUGUAUUUUAUUUGCUAAAUCUGGCAGUUUUAAUUGUAGACUCUUUGAACAUCCCCGGCCUCUACCUAUUAGGCGUCAGUAGCGCGACACCCUUGUCCCUCCAGUUACGACAACCAAAAAUGUCUCCAGUGUCUUCGAUGUUAAAUAAAAAAUUCAACUGAGUAAAUUUUAAAGAUCUAAUUGGCUUUAUUAAAUAAUGCACAAAACAGGCAGCAUCCCAUCUAGCAAACAGAAGAAUGCUAUGAGGAAUUACACAAAAUGGAAAGUUUUUGUAGAAGGAAGGUGGGACGAGAAAGCUAUUAGCAAAAGAAAAGGAUUGUUCCCACUCGUGGGGAAAGGCAAGGAGUCUUAUCUGCAGUUGACCUCCUCUGCCUUUGGGGGAUGGAGAGGGCCCAUGGGGAAGACUGGCACUGAUCAAAAAACAUUCUUUACUGGUAAAGACUACAUUUCGGGUGGAGGUUGAAACUGCAAAUAUUAUUUUUUUAUGUAUUUUUUGUUUACAAUUUCUUUUUUUUUUCUUUUUUUAAAAGAUCGUAUUUUUUAAAGUAAUUUCCACACCCAACAUAGGGCUUGAACCCUCAACCCUAAUAUCAAGAAUCGCAUUCUCUAUUGAGUUAGCCAGGUGCCCCUAAACUGCAAUUAGAUUAGUAUUAAUCCUCAAUUUAGGAAUUCAACCUAAGUGACACCAUUUUGGGCCUGUGGUUUUCUUUGUAACAUUGGGGAAGCAAAAUCCCCCCUUCACCUCAACCCACCCUUACCUUCACACCUUGAGGAUCACUGCUUUAUAAGAUACAUGGGGCAGUGUACUUGAGAGAAAAGGGUGACUUAGCUUCAAAGAGUUUGUCUGUUGGGUAUUAAGGAGGGCACGUACUGCAUGGAGCACUGGGUGUUAUACGAAAACAAUGAACCAUGGAACACUACAUCAAAAACUAAUGAUGUGGGCGCCUGGGUGGCUCAGUUGGUUAAGCAACUGCCUUCAGCUCAGGUCAUGAUCCUGGAGUCCCAGGAUCGAGUCCUGCAUCGGGCUCCCUGCUCAGCGGGGAGUCUGCUUCUCCCUCUGAUCCUCCCCCUCUCAUGCUGUCUGUCUCCCAUUCUCUCUCUCAGAUAAAUAAAUAAAAUCUUAAAAAACAAACAAACAAAAAAAAAACUAAUGAUGUAUGGUGACUAACAUAACAAUAAAAUUAAAAAGCAAAAACAAACAAAAACAGUUUGUCUAAUAAACACAAAUACUCUUGGGAACAAACUAUGCUAAACAUCCAAGAAAGCCAAGUAGAAGAGGUUUUGCAUUUGCUUUUCUCCACAAGGUGUUUGUUUUUUGUUUUUAUCGUUGUUAAAAAGAAAAUCACAGGCUCAAAAUGGUGUCACUUACGUUACGGCCUCGAAUCAGUAAAGCAAUGCUUAAUGCCUAACCUAACUGCAGUUUCAACCAUACAGAAACAUAGCCUUCAACCAGUCAACAUGGGGAUUUCCUGGUCAGCACUAGGAAGUACACUGAUGGAUCCCUUCAGUUCUCCUUAGAAGGACAACUUUGCUUAAAACAAUGGGUUCGGGGCUAAUAAUUUCCUUUUUUCCCACUCCCUCAUAUCUUUAAAAACAUUUCCUUUUGUGUAGCCCUUUGGAGCUCCCCACUACUUGCCAGAUGGGAUGCUGCCUGAUUCAUAAAUCAAUUAAUAAAGCCAAUUAGAGGGCGCCUGGGUGACUCAGUUGGUUAAGCGACUGCCUUCAGCUCAGGUCACGAUCCUGGAGUCCCGGGAUCGAGUCCCGCAUCAGGCUCUCUGCUCAGUGGGGAGUCUGCUUCUCCCUCUGACCCUCCCCCCUCUCAUGCUCUCUCUAUCUCAUUCUCUCAAAUAAAUAAAAUCUUUAAAAAAAAUAAAAUAAAGCCAAUUAGAUUUUUAAAAUUUACUUAAGUUUUUGUUAUUUAACAGAUUUGGUAGCAGUGGUGGGAUUCGAAGCAAGCUUCUGGCAGCUUUCAGGGACAAUAAGAAAAAUGGGCAUGCUCUCUAUGAUCCCUUUGAUGUCACUGUCUUUCUCACAUGUAGGUGAGCCCUCACAAGGGCUGUAGGGCACAUCAACUUGAGCUGCUAGACAGUCAUUCCCAGAGCCAACUGAGCUUGUAUAUUUGCCUGGAGCACAACUGAGUGGCAGAGGGUCAGCCCAGGGCCAAGCGCCUAGCCUUUCAGACCACAGUUCCCUGGAUGGACAAUCACAGCAAGUUCCAUGGGAAUUGGCAAUGGUGUGCACACAAGGCCUUCUUGUGACCAGGAUGCGCUAACAUCUCUUGGUUACUGCCAAUACACUGAGGUGCACUUGUGUGUUUGUCUUGUUUGAUGUAGAUAAGGGCUUUUGCUAGUGGGGAUCUGAGAAGCCAAAAAGCUACAAAAAUUGGUGGGCAUAGGUCGAGCACUUAAAGGCUAUUAGAGCACUUGCCACUUCAAGAAGACUCCUGGGAUAGGAUAGGUGGGUCAUGGAAUGGGUUAGAUUGAUACUAGGUCACCCACCAACAUCAAGAAAACUUCUAUGCAACAAGGUACACUGUAAAACAUGCACAAACAUCAACCCUGUGGCCCAUCCCUUCCAGGUAUUAGUUCAGGUCUGAGAACCCAAAGGCUUAGCUAAUGGGAUCCUUAAAUUCUAGAGUCAAGCAUGCCACCUUCCAGCACAUCUGCUUAUUUUAUGUUCAAGAACUAUAGUCCUGAAAGUUGCAAAUAUCUAGCAAAAACAACAAAAUCUUACUAAGCUUGUUUUGUGUCCUGAGGAAUUUGGGUUGAUAACCAUCAGGUUGGGAGCCCCCGAAUAAGGCAGGACAUAAAAGUGAGUUGCAGGGCGCCUGGGUGGCUCAGUUGGUUAAGCGAACCUCCUAUAGUGAGUCUCACAGGGUUUGUCUCCCUCUCUGAUUUCUUCCCAUUCAAGUUCCCCUCCCUUCCCCUAUUGUCCUCCACGCUAUUCCUUAUGUCCCACAUAUGAGUGAAACCAUAUGAUAAUUGACUUUCUCUGACUUAUUUCACUUAGCAUAAUUUCCUCCUGUUCCAUCCAUGUCAGUGCAAAUGGUGGGUAUUCAUCCUUUCUGAUGGCUGAGUAAUAUUCCAUUGUAUAUAUGAACCACAUCUUUUUUUUUUAAGAUUUUAUUUAUUUAUUUGAGAGAGAAAGAGAGAGAGACAGCAUGAGAGUAGGGAGGGUCAGAGGGAGAAGCAGAUUCCCUGCUGAGCAGUGAACUGGAUGCAGGACCCGAUCCUGGGACUCCAGGAUCAUGACCUGAGCCAAAGGCAGUCGCUUAACCAACUGAGCCACCCAGGUGCCUCUGAACCACAUCUUCUUUAUCCAUUCAUCUGUUGAAGGGCAUCUCGGCUCUUUCUGCAGUUUGGCUCUUGCGGACAUUGCUGCUAUGAACGUUGGGGUGCAUGUGCCCCUUCUUUUCACUACAUCUGUGUCUUUGGGGUAAAUACCCAGUAGUGCAAUCGCUGGGUCAUAGGGUAGCUCUAUUUUUAACAUCUUGAGGAACCUCCAUACUGUUUCCCAGAGUCACUGUACCAACUUGCAUUCCCACCAACAGUGUAAGAGGGUUCCCCUUUCUCCACAUCCUGGCCAACAUUUGUUGUUCCCUGUCUUGUUAAUUUUAGUCAUUCUAACUGGUUUAAGAUGGUAUCUCAUUGUGGUUUUGAUUUGUAUUUCCCUGAUGGCUAGGGAUGUGGAACAUUGUUUCAUGUGUCUGUUAGCCAUUUGUAUGUCUUUGGAGAAGUGUCUGUUCAUGUCUUCUGCCCAUUUCUUGACUGGAUUCUUUCUUUUUGGGGUGUUAAGUUUGGUAAGUUCUUUAUAGAUCUUGGAUACCAGCCCUUUAUCUGAUAUGUCAUUUGCAAAUAUCUUCUCCCAUUCUGUGGGUUGCCUUUUAGUUUUAUUGACUCUUUCCUUUGCUGUGCAGAAGCUUUUUAUCUUGAUGCAGUCCCAAAAGUUCGUUUUUGCUUUUGUUUCCCUUGCCUUUGGAGAUGUGUCUUGCAAGAAGUUGCUGUGGCCAAUGUGGAAGAGGUUACUGACUAUGUUCUUCUCUAGGAUUUUGACAGAUUCCUGUCUCACAUUUAGCAUUAUCAUGAGAGCAAAAAGGCAACAUACAGGAAGGGGGAUAUAUUUUCAAAUCAUAUAUCUCAGUAUCUAUAUUUCCAGAAUAAAUUAAAAAACUUAUAAAAAAUAACGCAAUUUAAAAAUUGGUGAAGGAAUGGAAAUUUUGAAUCAGUAUAUUGUACACCUGAAGCUAAUACUACACUGUAUGUUAAAAAAUCAUAUUUAUUUAUUUAUUUUUAAAGAUUUGAUUUAUUUAUUUGAGAGAAGGAGAUAGUCAAAGAGAGCAUGAGUGGGGGGUGGGGAGAGGGAGAAGCAGACUCCCCACUGAUCAGUGAGCCAGAUGCAAGGCUUGAUCCCAGGAACCUGGGAUUCAUGACCUGAGCCAAAGGCAGACAGUUAACUGACUGAGCCACCCAGGCACCCUUAAUAACCAUAAUUUAAAUAAAAACUUUUUAAAAAAUGGGCAAAGGACUUGAGCAGACAUUUCUCCAAAGACGAUGUACAAAUGGCCAAUAAGCAUGUGAAAAGAUGCUCAACACCACUAAUCAUUAGGGAAAUGAAAAUCAAAAACACAAUGAGAUACCACUUCCCACCUUUAAGAGUGGCUGUAAUAAACCAACAAACCAAUAAAAAAUGGAGAAUAGUAAGUGUUGGUGAGGAACUGGAGAAACUGGAAAAUAUAUAUCUGUUGGGAAGGUGAAAUGCCUAAGCUGCUGUGGAAAAUAGCAGUCUCAAAAUGUUAAACAUAAAAUUACUAUAUGAGGGCGCCUGGGUGGCUCAGUCGUAAGCAUCUGCCUUCGGCUCAGGUCAUGAUCCCAGAGUCCUGGGAUCGAGUCCCGCAUCGGGCUCCCUGCUCAGCAGGGAGCCUGCUUCUCCCUCUGCCUCUCUCUCUCUCUUAUGAAUAAAUAAAAUGUUUUUAAAAAAUUUCUAUAUGAUCCAGCGAUUCCACUCUUAGGUAUAUACCCAAUAGAACUGAGAACAGGGGCUCAAACAAAUACUUGUACACAAAUAUUCAUAGCAGCACUAUUUACAAUAGCCUGAAUGUAGAAACAAUUCAAAGGUUAAUUAAUGGUUGAAUUGAUGAACAUAUGGUUGUGUGUAUGUGUGUGUGUGUGUGUGUGUG